AAGUAUGAACGGUUUACAUGUCAUUAUGAUCCAAAUAGUCCAUUAUAUUCUGAGCGCGAGAGACUACAAAUCCUCAUCUCAGAUGCAGGUGUGCUUGCAGCUACCUAUGUGUUGUAUCGCAUAGCUCUGGCAAAAGGGUUUACCUGGCUUGUAUGCAUCUAUGGGGUGCCCCUCCUUAUUGUGAAUGGCUUUAUUGUUCUAAUCACUCUUUUGCACCACACUCACGCUUCAUUGCCACAUUAUGAUUCAACCGAGUGGGAUUAUCUAAGAGGAGCUCUAGCUACGGUAGACAGAGACUACGGUGUGCUGAACAAGGUGUUCCACAACGUUACGGAUACCCACGUUUUGCAUCACAUAUUCUCAUACAUAUCGCAUUACCAUGCAAUGGAGGCAACCAAUGCUAUCAAGCCAUUGCUAGGAGAAUACUACCAAGUCGACGAUACUCCAAUUUUAAAGGCACUGUGGAGGGAUACGAAGGAGUGCAUCUAUGUCGAGAAAGAUGAAGGCUCUCAAGGAAGAGGUGUUUAUUGGUAUAAAUACAAGCUUGAUGAUUAGUUAAAGCUUGUAUUUCGAAUUAUGUGUUUCUCUUGUAUUGUAUCGUAAUGUUAUUUUAAGUACAAUGUUUGUUCUGGUUAUUAUAGUUGUAUCGUUAUGUCCAUCUGUGACAUAAUUAAAAUAUGUCUAUUAUAAAGAAGAGCACGAAUAAAUGGUGCUGUUUAGUUCACUAUGUCUUGUAUACUCCCAAUUCUUGUGCCAUCAUCUACUAUUACAUUAUAUUAGUAACAGAGAAGAAAAUACCUGGACAUUUCGACAGUACAUGGACAAUCCUAGCACUCUUAACUCGAUAAAGGAUCAGGUUAAUUAAUGUGUUUCAAAGCAAUAACUUACUCAGAAUUAAAGCAAGGGAUUAAACUGAAUAUGUUGUUAUCGUUAUUGUAAUAUAUAGUGUUACUCUAUAUAUGAGAAUAGGUGCGUCGGAAUAUUUUCUUGCUGAAAACUCAUGAAUGCACACAUAAGGAUUUACAAAUUAUUUCUGUUUUCUCGUUUGUGUUGGUCUAUACAUUUCUGUGGAUAGAUGCAUCGAAGUAAUUCUUUAUCGAAAACUCAUGAAUGCACCCGUGAUGACCAACAAAAUGAUAAGGAUUGCUUCACUAAGGCAGACGUAGCCCUUUUUAGGGCAAACGAGCGAAAAAGCAGGAACUGCAUUUUAUUUCAGUUUUUUUGCUGAGUGUUUAUCCGAUGAAUUUCCGAAAAUAGGUGUCACAAUGAUUUUUUAUCGAAAACUCAUGAUUGUGCCUGUGAUAAUCUAUUAAAUAAUGAAUAUUUCUUCGGAGAGGUAAACAGAGCUUGUUUUAGGACAAAAGAGCAAAAAAUUAGAAAUUGAGAAUUAUUUCAAUUUUUUUGUGUGCGCUAAGCCUAUGAAUUUCUAGGAAUAGGUGUGUAGAAAUGAUUUUGUGGAAAAAACUCAUAGUUGUGCCCGGAAAUAGGAGUGUCAGGAUGCUUUUUUGCUUAGAACUCAAGAUCGCUCUCGUGAUGACCUAUUAAAUUAUAAGAGUUGCUUCGAAGAGGCGGACGAAGUCUAUUUUAGAACAAACUAGCAAAUAAAUAGAAAUUGUGGAUUAUUUUAGUCUUUUCAUGUGUGUUAGCCUAUGAACUUUUGGUGAUGGAUAUAUCACAUUGAAUUUUUAUCGAAAACUCAUGGCAACGCCUUUAACAACCAAUUAAAUGAUAAGGAGGUCUUCGGAGAGGCAGACAUAGUCUGUUUUAAGAUAAACAAGUGAAUAAGCAGGAAUUGAAAAAUAAUGGUGUAAGACUAAAGAGAGAAAAGUAAGAAAAAAAGGACAAUUAAAAAAAAAGUAAUGAGUAUCUGGCGCUGAGGUGGCAUGUCACGUGGCAUCCACUUCAUCCAAAUGUUAGGCCAGGUAGAGAAAUGUUAAAACAAGGGAUAUUUUAGUUAACUUUAAAAAUGGUAGAAGUAUAUUUGUUUCUACUAGUUUAACUGCACGUAUCUCGCAUGCAUAACGUUUAAUUAUUUAAAAUUAAAUAAUCUUAUCUAUUAUAGAGAUUUUUAAUGAAGUGCAAAAAUUUAAAUCACUAUUCAAAGAUUUUUCACAUUUUAAUAGAAUAAUGUAAACAUAAAUAUAUAUAUUUUAGUGUAAGCACAUAUAUAUUUUAUCAUCAGAAGUAUCAAGUGGUUGAUGGAUCAUCCAUUUUGCGUUUGCUAGAGACACCUCAAUUUGAACCAUAUUUGUGGUACGAUUAGUUUCUUUUUUUACUUAAAACUUUUAAAAAUUUGAUACUUCUUAAAUUUUUUUUAUUCUAAUGCUUUUAUAUUGAUAUCUAGAUUUUUCAAAUCUUCUUAAUAUCAAAUUUAGUUAGUUUAGAAUUCUUAAACUAAUGAAAAAAAUGUUAAUUGUUAUUAAUUCUGAUGACUUCUAAUAAAGAAAGAUUUUACCAUAAAUAUAAAAGAUUUUACCAUAAAUAUAUUUAAUUAAUUUUCAACUCUUAAAUAUUAGAAAAAAAUAGUGAAAAGAUGAUUUUGUCUAAAACAAUGACUUUUAAUGAAACACAAAAAGUUCAAGCAAAAUUUCUAAGAUCUUCACUGUUUUAGUAUAUUAUAAAUAAUAUAACGAAGGAUAAAUUUAGCUAAUAAACUAUUUUUUUCAAACGACAGUGUGUGGGUAUACCUAAAUAUAUUUUUAAGUGAUGAUUUUUUUCUCUCUAUAUAUAUUACACAAUAAUACGCCAAUAGCAGUACCUCAAUAGCAACCAUGCACUGUUUUAUUAAUGUACUGUUGAAUAGAGUAUCAAAUAUUAUUUUAAAAAUAUACUCAACCAACCCUUGAUGUAUAUCCAAUAGUAGGUGGGAAUAUAAAUAUUCAGUAAUUAACUGACUAUUUUUGGCACUAUUUAGGAGAAAAAUAAGUGAAACGACCCCUCAAGUUUCCAAUUAAGAAAAGGGGAUAAGUGGGUCCCAUAAAUUUGUUAUUAGUUGUCUGAAUAAUUUCGCGCUAUUGUUGAACAACUUGUCUCAGCUGUCGAACAACUACGUCUAGUUGUUGUUGAACAACUUCACAAAGUUGUCGAACAACUACCAAAGUUGUUCUACAACUGGAACAAGUUGUUGGGACGAAAAAACUUAAAAAAAAAAAUUAUCCCUCCCACCUAAUUUAAAAAACUUGAAGGACUCCCACUUAAUUGGACAACUUGGGAGUCCUUUUUAAUCCAACUCCCACUAUUUAGCAUACCUAACUCCUAUUUUUACCUAUAAGUUAGAACUUUUGGUCAAUUAUAUAAAUUCAUUGUCUUGAAAUAUCAUAAUCAUCUGUAUUAUGGGAAACAAUAAAAACGUCGGCCUUAAAGACAACAUAUCCAAGUCUUACUUUUCCUAUAAGGCAGAACUUUCAAUUAUUUAUGUAAAUUCAUUAUCUUGAAAUAUUAUGAAUGUCUGUUUUAUGGGCAAGAGUCAAGAGUAAGAACGUCAGCCUUAUAGGCAACGUAUCUAAGUCCCACUUUUUUUUAUAAGGCAGAACUUCUAGUCAAUUAUGUAAAUUCAUUGUCUUAAACUAUCAUGAAUGUCCGCCUUAUGAGUAAGAAUAAGAACAUCAGUCCUAUAGGCAAUAUAUCUAAGUCCUACUUUUUCGUAUAAGACAGAACUUUUAGUUAAUAAUGCAAAUUCGUUGUCUUGAAAUAUUAUGACCGUCUGCAUGAGCAAAAAAUAAAAAUGUCGGCCUUUAAGGCAACAUAUUUAAGUCCUACUUUUUUAUAAGGCAGAACUUCUAGUCAAUUAUAUAGCUUCAUUGUUUUGAUAAGACAGAACUUUUAGUUAAUUAUAUAAAUUCAUAGUUUUGAAAUGUCACAAAUGUGUGCCUUAUAGGCUAGAGUAAUAAUUUAUGCUCUCGUAGUUCAUGAAAAAGUGAACAUCAAAUUUGUGGCAACUUAAGUCGCCACGGAAAACUUUUUGUGUUGUCAUUAUUUAGUCGCCACUAAACUUUUCUCUUUUGUGGCGACAUUUAAAUUAUCACAAAAACCUCACUAAUUAGGGGCUAGUGAUAGAGUCCCCAUAUAACCAACAUGGGUUGUGGUGCAACGGAUAGGGUUGCUCUACCCUUAACCAGAGGUCGAGGAUUCGACCUUGAGUAUGGAGAAAACUCUGUUGGAAGCAUUACCCCCCGAAUGGGGCCCUACCCGACGCGAAUUCGGAUUAAUCGGGCUUCAAUGAGGGUACCGCACACCGAAUGAAAAUACAACAACAACAACAACAAACCCAGUAUAUUCCCACAUAGUGGGGUCUGGGGAGGGUAGAGUUUACGCAGUCCAUACCACUACCUCUAACGAGUUAGAGAGCUGUUUCCGAUAGAACCCUGGUUCAAGAUAAAAGGCAGUAUACAAAAACAUCAAAAGCAUAGAACAUGAUAAAAUAACAUAGAUACGACAUCUAUAAAAAAGAACAAUGCCAAACAAAUGACACCACAAUUCCCCUCUCUACUGACUACAACUCAACCACACCCUUACUGUUUUUCCACUGUCAUCAUGAAAAAUUUUAAAAGACUCAAUGAAUGAAGGAAUACCAUAUAUAUAUAUUUUUUUUGGGACGUAUAGACUAUUACAGACAUCAAAAAAGACUUUUCAAAGUGUGGAAUUCAACAAUAAAAUUACUGCAGAAGAAAGAUAUAACACUAAUAUAGUUGUGUGCAGAAAUAGAUUUACACACAUAUAUAUAUAUGUGCUUUUUUUCAUCUCAAUUUAAGUGGUCACGGAUUAAAUAAACAAAUAUUUGAAGUAAAAUUAAAUUAUAUCAACUCAAUAUUUUAAAAUAAUAAUUAAAUAUUCAAAAAUUGGAUGAAAAUUUAUAUGGUGGUAAUUCUUUCAUGCCCAUAGGAUACCAAAAAGAACAUCUUUUAAGUGUGCUAUUUGGACCCAGAGAAGGAUGGCUACUGGGUCCCAUAGAUAGCCAUUAUAUAUACACCCACAAUAUUCACAAAGUGAAAUACACUCAAACUUGAAAGCUCUAAGAGGAGAGAAAAACAUCCAGCUUAUUCAUUUAAAGGUAUUUCUUUUCUUCAAAAUCUUAUCUUCAUUUAACUUUAGUUCUUCAAGCUUAAUUAGUUAUUAAUUCCCAAACAUAUGAACUCAUAAUAUCAACUUAUAACCUUAUCUUAUAUCAUUUUUCUUUUCCUGAGGAAAACUUCAUGCUUGAUUUUGCCAUGAUUUGAAUUGUUUUCUGUUAGAAAUUUUCAUGUUUAUGCAAUGACUGUCUUAUAUUAUAACUAUAAGAAUAAUAAUAGUCAAUGGGUGAAGCAAGGCUAAUUUGAAGCAAACUCCAUUGGUGCAGCUUUCAGGAUUGAACAAAAUGGGAGGUGGUGGCAAUAUGAGUACUCCAGCAACUAAAACUGGACAAAAGAAAAGUCAUCUGCAAAGAGUUCCAUCUGCAAAGCCUCCCUUUACACUUGGUGACGUUAAGAAGGCCAUUCCUCCUCACUGCUUUCAACGAUCUCUCAUUCGCUCCUUCUACUACCUCAUUAAGGAUCUCAUUAUUAUCUCCAUUACUUAUUACAUUGCAGCCACUUACUUCCCCUCUCUUCCAUACCCACUUACUUACCUUGCAUGGCCUGCUUACUGGGUCAUUCAAGGUUGUGUUGGCACCGGAAUAUGGGUCAUUGGACAUGAGUGCGGACACCAUGGCUUCAGUGAUUACCAAUGGGUAGAUGACACCGUUGGCCUUAUCCUCCACUCUGCACAAUUGACACCCUUCUUCUCAUGGAAAAUUAGCCAUCGCCGUCACCAUGCCAACACCGGUUCCCUUGAAAAUGAUGAGGUCUACAUUCCCAGGUUUAAAUCCAAACUUAGAUGGUACUAUCAAUACUUGGACAACCCAGUAGGAAGAGUAGGUGUACUUGCCUUUACCCUCCUCUUUGCCUGGCCUUUAUACUUGGUCUUCAAUAUCUCUGGCAAGAAGUACGAACGGUUUACAUGUCAUUAUGAUCCAAAUAGCCCAUUAUAUUCUGAGCGCGAGAGACUACAAAUCCUCAUCUCAGAUGCAGGUGUGCUUGCAGCUACCUAUGUGUUGUAUCGCGUAGCUUUGGCAAAAGGGUUUACCUGGCUUGUAUGCAUCUAUGGGGUGCCCCUCCUUAUUGUGAAUGGCUUUAUUGUUCUAAUCACUCUUUUGCACCACACUCACGCUUCAUUGCCACAUUAUGAUUCAACCGAGUGGGAUUAUCUAAGAGGAGCUCUAGCUACGGUAGACAGAGACUACGGUGUGCUGAACAAGGUGUUCCACAACGUUACGGAUACCCACGUUUUGCAUCACAUAUUCUCAUACAUAUCGCAUUACCAUGCAAUGGAGGCAACCAAUGCUAUCAAGCCAUUGCUAGGAGAAUACUACCAAGUCGACGAUACUCCAAUUUUAAAGGCACUGUGGAGGGAUACGAAGGAGUGCAUCUAUGUCGAGAAAGAUGAAGGCUCUCAAGGAAGAGGUGUUUACUGGUAUAAAUACAAGCUUGAUGAUUAGUUAAAGCUUGUAUUUCGAAUUAUGUGUUUCUGUUGUAUUGUAUCGUAAUGCUAUUUUAAGUACAAUGUUUGUUCUGGUUAUUACAGUUGUAUCAUUAUGUCCUGUGACAUAAUUAAAAAAUGUCUAUUGUAAAGAAGUGCACGAACAAAUGGACAAUCCUAGCACUCUUAACUCGUUAAAGGAUCAAGUUAAUUUAUUUGUUUCAAUGCAAUAACUUUAAUCAGAAUAAAAGUAAAGGAUUAAACUGAAUAUGUUGUUAUCCUAAUUUAUAUUACUCUGUAUGUACUAGCUUAAGUCUAUUUGCUAAUGGCUUGCCCUAUUUUAUUGGUUCAUUAAUAAUGGCAGAUCCAUAAACUGACAAUGCUAUAAUUAUUUAAGAAAGCAAAUACAGAUUUAGAAUUAUUUUCCGUGAGUGUUUUCGUUAUUUGUGUGCUUUAGAUUUUAGUUUAAUAUUUAUUAUUUAAUAAAUCCCUUGCAGUGAUGUUGCAGUGAAGACAUAAACUUAUUUAGAAAUGAACUUAUUUAGUUUAGGAUAAAUGAGAAAAAACAGAAAUUGUGGAUUAUUUAGAUUUUUCACGUGUGUUAGCUUAUGAAUUUUUAGAAAUAGUUGUAUUGGAAUAAUAUUUUGCCAAAAAGUCAUCAUUGUAUCCGUGACGAUGUAUUAAAUGAUAAGAAUUAUUUCUAAGAGGCGGAUGUAGCCUGUUGUAGAAUAAACAAGCAAAAAAGCAAGAAUUGCAAAUUAUUUUAAUUUUUUUUGUGUGUUAGCCUACGAAUUUCAGGGAAUAGGUGCAUCAUAAUAACUUUUUAUUGAAAACUCAUGGUUGCGCCACAUGACGAUCUGCUAAAUGAUAAGAGUUUCUUUGGAGAGACAGACCAGUCAAAAAAUAAAAAUUACGGAUUAUUUCAGUUUUUUCUUGUGUGUUCGUCUAUGAAUUUCUAUGGAUAGAUGCGCCAGAAUAUUUUUUUUGCUGGUUGAAAAGUGAUGGUUGCACCCAUGAUGACCUAUUAAAUGAUAACAAUUGCUUCGGAAAGGCGGACAUAACUCGUUUUAGGACAAAACGAGCGAAAAAGCAAGAAUUGUAGAUUAUUUCAAUUUUUUCAUGUGUUAGCCUAUAAAAUUUUGUGAUGGGAGUGUCAGGAUGUUUUUUUGCUGAAAACUCGAGAUCACUUCCGUGACGACCUAUUAAAUUAUAAGGGUUGCUUCAGAGAGAUAGGCGGAGCCUGUUUUAGAACAAACUAGCGAAUAAGGAGAAACUACAGAUUAUUUUAGCUUUUUUCAUGUGUGUUAGCCUAUGAAUUUCUGAAAAUGAGUGCAUCACAUUGAUUUUUUACUGAAAACUCAGGACAGCCCCUUUAGCAACCAAUUAAAUGAUAAAGGAAUCUUUAGAGAGGCUAACAUAGCCUACUUUAGGACAAACGAACGAAAAAACAAGAAUUGAAACAAUGGUGCAAGGCUAAAGAAAGAAAAGUAAGAAAAAGUGGAAAAAAAAGAAGAAAGAGAAAAGAAAAAAAAUUGUAAUGAAUAUCUGGCGCUGGUGGCAUGUUAUGUGGCAUUCACCUUACUCAAAUGUUAGAUUAUUUGUAAAAGUGUUAAAAUGAGGAAUAUUUCUAUUAACACUGAUAAUGAGGACUAUAUUUGGUCCUAUAAUAUAACGAAGCAUAAAUUUAGUUAACAAACUAUAUUCAUCAGAUAUAUAAUAUAUAUAUAUAUAUAUAUAUAUAUAUAUGAACAAGCACGCACAUUGAUAUACAAUAAUACAACAAUAGCAGUACUUUUAUUGAGCCAAGGAUAAAAAAAAUAGCAAUCAUGCACUAUUUUAUUAAUGUAUUAUUUAAUAGAGUAUUAAAUAUUAUUUUUGAAAUAUACUAAACCAACCCUUUGGUUUAUAACUGUAUAUCCAAUAGCAAGUGGGAAUAUAAAUUUCAGUAAUUAACUGACUAGUUUUGGCACUAUUUAGCACACCACAUGGUAUUUAUGAUUAAUAUAAUUUAAAAUGAAAGGAGCAUAUUUUCUUUUAAGCUCAAGAUAAUUCGCAGCCGUUAUAAUCUCUGUGAGAGUCUCUGUUCUACGGGUGAACACUUUAAAUCUAUCAUUUGAUGAAAAGGAAAGGACAGUCCGGUGCACUAAGGCUCUAGUUAUAUAUGUACAGGUUCGGAGAAGAAUCAGACUACAAGGAUCUAUCGUACAUAAUCAUACCUUGCAUUUCUGUCAGAAUCUGUUUUCAAGACUUGAACUCAUAACCUCCUACACACGACAGUAUUCAUUCGUCGAAGGCUCCUCUUCAAAUCUACCAUUUGACGAACCAAUUAAAUUGGCAGUGUGCUGAAUAGGUCAGAGAAGGAUGGCUACUGAGUCCUACAAUAUACUAUUAUAUAUACACAAACUAUAUUCACCAAGUGAGAAACACUCAGAUCUAUCUUCAGCUUUUAAAUUUUGAGAUAGGUAUUUCUUUUCACCAAAAUCUAUCUUAGCUUCAUUUAACUUUAGUUCUUCAAGCUUAAUUAGUUAAUUCUCAAACAUAUGAUUUCAUAAUAUCAACAUUUAAUACUAUUUGUUAAGAUUAAGAGCUUAUUAUCGUACUAUAAAUUAUAACCUUUUUAUGUUUUUCUUUUCCUAAGGACAAAUUUAUGCUUGAUUUUUGCCAUGAUUUGAAUUGUUUUCUGUUAGAAAUUUUCAUGUUUAUGCAAUGACUGUCUUAUAUUAUAACUAUAAGAAUAAUAAUAGUCAAUGGGUGAAGCAAGGCUAAUUUGAAGCAAACUCUAUUGGUGCAGCUUUCAGGAUUGAACAAAAUGGGAGGAGGUGGCAAUAUGAGUACUCCAGCAACUAAAACUGGACAAAAGAAAAGUCAUCUGCAAAGAGUUCCAUCUGCAAAGCCUCCCUUUACACUUGGUGACGUUAAGAAGGCCAUUCCUCCUCACUGCUUUCAACGAUCUCUCAUUCGCUCCUUCUACUACCUCAUUAAGGAUCUCAUUAUUAUCUCCAUUACUUAUUACAUUGCAGCCACUUACUUCCCCUCUCUUCCAUACCCACUUACUUACCUUGCAUGGCCUGCUUACUGGGUCAUUCAAGGUUGUGUUGGCACCGGAAUAUGGGUCAUUGGACAUGAGUGCGGACACCAUGGCUUCAGUGAUUACCAAUGGGUAGAUGACACCGUUGGCCUUAUCCUCCACUCUGCACAAUUGACACCCUUCUUCUCAUGGAAAAUUAGCCAUCGCCGUCACCAUGCCAACACCGGUUCCCUUGAAAAUGAUGAGGUCUACAUUCCCAGGUUUAAAUCCAAACUUAGAUGGUACUAUAAAUACUUGGACAACCCAGUAGGACGAGUAGGUGUACUUGCCUUUACCCUCCUCUUUGCCUGGCCUUUAUACUUGGUCUUCAAUAUCUCUGGCAAGAAGUAUGAACGGUUUACAUGUCAUUAUGAUCCAAAUAGUCCAUUAUAUUCUGAGCGCGAGAGACUACAAAUCCUCAUCUCAGAUGCAGGUGUGCUUGCAGCUACCUAUGUGUUGUAUCGCAUAGCUCUGGCAAAAGGGUUUACCUGGCUUGUAUGCAUCUAUGGGGUGCCCCUCCUUAUUGUGAAUGGCUUUAUUGUUCUAAUCACUCUUUUGCACCACACUCACGCUUCAUUGCCACAUUAUGAUUCAACCGAGUGGGAUUAUCUAAGAGGAGCUCUAGCUACGGUAGACAGAGACUACGGUGUGCUGAACAAGGUGUUCCACAACGUUACGGAUACCCACGUUUUGCAUCACAUAUUCUCAUACAUAUCGCAUUACCAUGCAAUGGAGGCAACCAAUGCUAUCAAGCCAUUGCUAGGAGAAUACUACCAAGUCGACGAUACUCCAAUUUUAAA
This 10359-nucleotide long non-coding RNA is filed under the name Capsicum annuum. RNAcentral's name for it is "long non-coding RNA (CANN_LNC018253)". Lineage: Eukaryota; Viridiplantae; Streptophyta; Magnoliopsida; Solanales; Solanaceae. The record is from RNAcentral.